GAUGAACGCUGGCGGCGUGCCUAAUACAUGCAAGUCGAGCGAACGGACGAGAAGCUUGCUUCUCUGAUGUUAGCGGCGGACGGGUGAGUAACACGUGGAUAACCUACCUAUAAGACUGGGAUAACUUCGGGAAACCGGAGCUAAUACCGGAUAAUAUUUUGAACCGCAUGGUUCAAAGGUGAAAGACGGUCUUGCUGUCACUUAUAGAUGGAUCCGCGCUGCAUUAGCUAGUUGGUAAGGUAACGGCUUACCAAGGCAACGAUGCAUAGCCGACCUGAGAGGGUGAUCGGCCACACGGGAACUGAGACACGGUCCAGACUCCUACGGGAGGCAGCAGUAGGGAAUCUUCCGCAAUGGGCGAAAGCCUGACGGAGCAACGCCGCGUGAGUGAUGAAGGUCUUCGGAUCGUAAAACUCUGUUAUUAGGGAAGAACAUAUGUGUAAGUAACUGUGCACAUCUUGACGGUACCUAAUCAGAAAGCCACGGCUAACUACGUG
Molecule: ribosomal RNA, 497 nt
Filed under: uncultured bacterium
Lineage: Bacteria
Description: partial 16S ribosomal RNA
Rfam family: Bacterial small subunit ribosomal RNA
Source: RNAcentral